Molecule: ribosomal RNA, 758 nt
Filed under: uncultured bacterium
Lineage: Bacteria
Description: bacterial SSU rRNA
Rfam family: Bacterial small subunit ribosomal RNA
Source: RNAcentral
AGAGUUUGAUCCUGGCUCAGAAUCAACGCUGGCGGCGCGCCUAACACAUGCAAGUCGAACGAGAAAGCAGGAGCAAUCUUGUGAGUAAAGUGGCGUACGGGUGAGUAACACGUGGAUCAUCUACCUCUUUGUGGGGGAUAACCCUGGGAAACCGGAGCUAAUACCGCAUAAGUCCGAGAGGAGAAAGCAGCAAUGCGCAGAGAGAGGAGUCCGCGGCCGAUUAGCUAGUUGGUAGGGUAAAAGCCUACCAAGGCAACGAUCGGUAGCCGGCCUGAGAGGGCACACGGCCACACUGGUACUGAAACACGGGCCAGACUCCUACGGGAGGCAGCAGUGGGGAAUCUUGCACAAUGGGGGCAACCCUGAUGCAGCGACGCCGCGUGAGCGAUGAAGCCCUUCGGGGUGUAAAGCUCUUUCGGCAGGGAAGAUUAUGACGGUANNUGCAGAAGCAGCUGCGGCUAACUACGUGCCAGCAGCCGCGGUAAUACGUAGGCAGCAAGCGUUGUUCGGAGUUACUGGGCGUAAAGGGUGUGUAGGCGGUUUUCUAAGUCUGGUGUGAAAUCUCCCGGCUCAACUGGGAGGGUGCGCCGAAAACUGGAAGGCUAGAGUGCGGGAUGGGAGAGUGGAAUUCCUGGUGUAGCGGUGAAAUGCGUAGAUAUCAGGAGGAACACCUGUGGUGUAGACGGCUCUCUGGACCGCAACUGACGCUGAGACACGAAAGCGUGGGUAGCAAACAGGAUUAGAUACCCUAGUAGUCC